CUUCUGUCAAGGCCGGUGUCUCCUCGGAUCCGGGUCCCCCUCUGUACACGGGAGGGGCCUGGCUGUCACAAUGACACCCUUUUGGGUGUGCGGGGAAAACACGGCUGAAUGUUAAAUAAACACGCGCUAAUUACCCUGAGAAUAUUUAUUGAGGUUUUCCCACGUUGUAAUAAGAAAUUAUUGAAACAUAUAUCACCCACCGAGCUGUUAAUCAUUGGUAAAUAUAUUUUAAAUACAGCAGUCCAUUAGUAUUUUAAUUUAGCCUGUCUCCUGGAGAAUAUGUGCUGUAUGAGACAAAUGUCUCCAGCUCCAGAGCCAAGGGAAAAAUUUCCUCACCUAGUUAAUCUUUAUGUUUUCCUCUCAGGGAGGAAAUCCCGGCUGCACCAGCAAAAGAAAUGUUCCCUGGGGUCCAGUAUUGAUGAUCAGUGUGUGUAAACAUCCAUCAAGAUCACUGAAAAUUAAUAAUAUGCCACUUAAUGUGAUAUAUAAAAGGUAUUUAAUGUACACAUUUUGGUUAUUUCUUUUUUCUUGCUGAGAACAAUACUACAAUGAGAAUUCUCUUACACAUGUCUUUCUAUGUUUUUUUCCUCCUAAAAAACAGAGUCAUAGAAAUCAACUUCCUGGAUCAAAGAAGAUCUGAGAAAGGUCACACCUUGAGUACCUUGAGAAAGGUCUCUGAAGAGAAGUCCAUCUGCUACAUCUCCUGGUUCCCCCAGCCACUUGCUCAUCAACUUGUUCUGGAAGUCACUGUCUGCCUGUGAUUCUCUCUUCCAUUCCCUGAAAUCUGUUCACCCUGCAUGGCUGGGGCUCUAUCUCCUUCCCUGUGAUUUAUCACCACAACACCUCUUGCCGUUCUACUCUUUCAUUUGUCUGCUUUCAAUAAUUAUUUAAGCUUUAUUAGAUAUUUAUCAAGUAAACUGUCAGCUUCUGAAGUUUGCUUAUUGUAGCCAGAGGUUUAGAAGGGCAAUUUAUAUGCAUCUCAGAGCUCACACGGCAAAUCCUCUCUCCGGAUUGAAAUUAUGAUAUGAACAGGAUGUUUUAUGAGAUAAUAGAAGGAAGGUUUCAAAUUCUAGGGUUGGAUAUGUUGGAAUUUUUUUUCUCCCUCUGAGCUUUCCUGAGAAAGAAAUAUGUAAGUAGCUCGGAUGGCCAGGGAUCGGAGGAAAGGAGGGUGUGGAAAUGCGCUCAUUGUGGGGAGAAGAAACAGAUGAAUGGUCCGGUUCAGAUGGCCUUAAAAUUCAUGAGGUUCCAUGCAAGCCAAGUUAAACACCUCUGGGCUCUGUAGGCUACGUAGCUCCCUGAACUCCGCCGAGAUGGUAGAUUUAUCAGGCUGUAGGGCACUGCAGGGGUGCCACCAGCCAGGGGAGAGCUCGGGCUAGAUGUUAGAUGAAGUUGCAACAGGAUAGGUGAGCAUCCUGAACCAGAACGCAGGCAGUGGGAUGCAUUCAGAUGGCGGCCUUUGAAGAGGAUGAAAGCCACAGGGCUAGGCUAGCAUGAUAGGAGUCGCACAGUCUUUUUAUUUCUGUUUCCAGUUUGAGAUAACCCUGAAGGGGUAGGUAUUUUUAAUACCAUAGUUUUUAUAUGUAGAAACCAAAGCACCAACAACUCACUGAAGAAGACAUCUGUUGUUUUUGCUUGUCUGGCAUCUAUUCCACCCCUGGUUUUGGCAACAGCAGCCAGAGUUUCUUUGCGGAGGGGGAAAUCAUCCAUCCUCCUUUCUCAGUUCAUGAAGUUGGGGAUGGAUCUAUCCUGCCUCCAGCUUCA
RNAcentral lists this long non-coding RNA (1761 nucleotides) under Vulpes vulpes (red fox). RNAcentral's name for it is "lncRNA (ENSVVUG00000024105.1)". The record is from RNAcentral. Lineage: Eukaryota; Metazoa; Chordata; Mammalia; Carnivora; Canidae.